UGCUAGAGCAGGGGUAGGCAACCUACGGCACUAGUGCCAUGCACGGCACUCAAGGCUGCUAGAGCCAAACAGGCUCUGGCCUAUCAGGAGUCCCAGUAAAACUUCAGAUAUCUGCUAAUACGAAGAGGUGGUGAAGGACAAUCCUCAAUUUAUGCAUUGCAGCACAUAGAGGAAGUGAUCUCAGAGCACUUCAUUCCAGCACUUGUGAAUGGGAAUCCACACAGUAGUAGAGCAGCUCGCAGUUGCUCUUGCAGCUCCUGUUCUUGACCUGUAUCUGGCCGGCCUGGUCCC
Molecule: non-coding RNA, 291 nt
Organism: Pelobates cultripes (western spadefoot toad)
Lineage: Eukaryota; Metazoa; Chordata; Amphibia; Anura; Pelobatidae
Source: the annotation of a GenBank genome assembly